Molecule: ribosomal RNA, 419 nt
Filed under: uncultured bacterium
Lineage: Bacteria
Description: bacterial SSU rRNA
Rfam family: Bacterial small subunit ribosomal RNA
Source: RNAcentral
GGAAUAUUGGACAAUGGCCGAGAGGCUGAUCCAGCCAUGCCGCGUGCGGGAGGACGGCCCUAUGGGUUGUAAACCGCUUUUGUUGGAGAGCAAUAAGGUCCACGUGUGGAUCGAUGAGAGUAUCCAGCGAAUAAGCAUCGGCUAACUCCGUGCCAGCAGCCGCGGUAAUACGGAGGAUGCAAGCGUUAUCCGGAUUUAUUGGGUUUAAAGGGUGCGUAGGCGGAUGAUUAAGCGUGAGGUGAAAUGCCACUGCUCAACAGUGGAACUGCCUCGCGAACUGGUUGUCUGGAAUGCCCCUGCCGUGGGAGGAAUGUGUGGUGUAGCGGUGAAAUGCAUAGAGAUCACACAGAACACCGAUUGCGAAGGCAUCUCACGAAGGGGUGAUUGACGCUGAGGCACGAAAGCGUGGGGAUCAAACA